CAAUAGCGUAUAUUUAAGUUGCUGCACUUAAAAAGCUCGUAGUUGGAUUUCGGGUGGGAAUGGCCGGUCCGCCGUUUCGGUGUGCACUUGCUACGCCCACCUUGCUGCCGGGGACGUGCUCUUGAGUUCACGCUCGGGACACGGAGUCGGCGAGGUUACUUUGAGUAAAUUAGAGUGUUCAAAGCAGGCCUACGCUCUGAAUACAUUAGCAUGGAAUAACACGAUAGGACUCUGGCCUAUCUUGUUGGUCUGUAGGACCGGAGUAAUGAUUAAGAGGGACAGUCGGGGGCAUUCGUAUUUCAUUGUCAGAGGUGAAAUUCUUGGAUUUAUGAAAGACGAACUACUGCGAAAGCAUUUGCCAAGGAUGUUUUCAUUAA
Molecule: ribosomal RNA, 377 nt
Filed under: uncultured eukaryote
Lineage: Eukaryota
Description: partial 18S ribosomal RNA
Rfam family: Eukaryotic small subunit ribosomal RNA
Source: RNAcentral